Molecule: ribosomal RNA, 433 nt
Filed under: uncultured bacterium
Lineage: Bacteria
Description: partial 16S ribosomal RNA
Rfam family: Bacterial small subunit ribosomal RNA
Source: RNAcentral
AGCGAACGCUGGCGGCAGGCCUAACACAUGCAAGUCGAACGAACUCUUCGGAGUUAGUGGCGGACGGGUGCGUAACACGUGGGAACGUGCCUUUUGGUUCGGAAUAACUCAGGGAAACUUGUGCUAAUACCGAAUGUGCCCUUCGGGGGAAAGAUUUAUCGCCAUUGGAGCGGCCCGCGUCUGAUUAGCUAGUUGGUGAGGUAACGGCUCACCAAGGCGACGAUCAGUAGCUGGUCUGAGAGGAUGACCAGCCACACUGGGACUGAGACACGGCCCAGACUCCUACGGGAGGCAGCAGUGGGGAAUCUUGCGCAAUGGGCGAAAGCCUGACGCAGCCAUGCCGCGUGAAUGAUGAAGGUCUUAGGAUUGUAAAAUUCUUUCACCGGGGACGAUAAUGACGGUACCCGGAGAAGAAGCCCCGGCUAACUUCGUG